RNAcentral lists this long non-coding RNA (232 nucleotides) under Malus domestica (apple). Its description in RNAcentral is "long non-coding RNA (MDOM_LNC013407)". Lineage: Eukaryota; Viridiplantae; Streptophyta; Magnoliopsida; Rosales; Rosaceae. The record is from RNAcentral.
AGUGAAGAACUAUGACAUUAAAAGUGUUGUCCUCUUUAUGAUAGACUUAUCUAACAUGUUCUUCUAAUGAUACAUUAUCAAUAGGAAGAUUGUGAGGAUUAGACUACUUAGGUACAUAUACAAUCCAUUUAAGACAAUCUUUGGGAUUGUGGUACCAAGUUCGGAAACUAAAGCAUUCGGCUUUUCUUUGUCAAGUUUUGGAUAGCGUUUGCAAAUAUAUUGGUAAACAAAU